UCCAACGGACCAAUAGAAACUUUUAUCCCACCCUAAUCGUCAUGUUAUUUGUCUCUUUACAACCACGCAUCGGGGGCAAAACAACGGGUUUGACAAAGUGUCGGUGAGCACGGAGCAGGUAACUGUCAGUCAUUCAAGCGAGACAAGAACAUAAGGCAGAAGAGCAGAUCCCUGAGGUUUACACGCGUGAUGCGUUGACGGGUGAACUGCCGUGAUGCGCCACCACUCAAACCCACAGACGAGCUCGCUGAAGACCCGGAACCCUGAGUGAACAAAGACACGCACAGCCGGAAACUUACAGAACAAAAAAAAAAAAUAAGGGAGAGAGAGAUCUUGUACCUCUGCAUCAGUGCCAAGAGCAGCUGGUCCAGCUGCUCGAAGAACUUCAACUGUGCGCGAACAUCAGUCACCUGCUCAAACCGGGCAUCCUCCUGCGCAGCACAUGGCCAUGCAAAUAGACAGAUUAAUGAAGGAAACUGCAAACAAAUACAGCUGCAUUUUCAUACACACAACUCUUAGCAUGUACACGGUGUAUGAAGACGGCAACAACAGCCAAACUGCAGCUGCUCUCUAGUGAAAACAUGAACAUUUCCAUUUGCAAAACACGAACACACAACGCACUUUGAUACACACCUUAUAGUUCAUGUUCUUUUGCUGUGCAAUGACCGUGACCUUUUCUAGAAGGUUCUGGAGUCUCUGCUGAGUAGCGUGAGACACCAGGUUCACCACCUCAGAGCCCAGAUCCGUCACUCCAAACCGUUUACCUGCACACGAGUUACACAGUCAGCUUUUUUCUCCAUCUUGUUGAGUACGUGUUCACCAAAAGCACCACACUUUACACUGUGUUAUAAAAUGCACAGAAAACGCACCCAUUGUAACAUGUACAGUUUCUAUAAAACCAAAUCACACAAACCAUGGGAGGGAAUAUACAAUUUAUAGCGGUUAUAAUUUACAAGACAACAGGACAGGAUUAGCUGUUUUGCAAACGUUCAACAACAACAGUAAAGACUUCAGGAUCUGCGGCUAUAGGAAAAUGAUCAACUUCAGAGGGAAGGGUGGAAGUAACUCUGCUUCAUCACACCAUCCAGUCACUGGUUAUUUUUCUGUAACAGGAAGUCUAUACUUUAUUCCCUGCAUAAGAUGGUCUCACAGUCGGGAAUUACGUGUUAAAAUGUACUUUUGUUAGAUCUACAAAUGUGAGUAGAUACGAUCUCUUUGGAAUGUAAGAAACCUAUUAAAAUGACAGAUUGAUUAGAAUCCUUAGGCAUUUUAAAUCCCCUCGGGUGUCCUUUUUAUCCAAGUCUUUUGGAGUUGGGACAGCUAUCCGAUGCUUGUCUACUAACCAGAAAGAGCUUCAAAUAAAAUACACCUCAACUGUAGAAUUAUAUAUAUACAUUUUUCUUUUCAUGCAAAAACUUUGGCUUCUGGGAUAAAGGUGACAUCACUGUGAAAUAAGGGAAAUUAUAAAUACCCCAAAUGACUAAAAUUGGUAAUGCUGACUAUUUGAAUAGCUUUUACUGUCACACAGGACACUGGAAAUUUGAGACAGACCGAUGUCCAGUAUCCUGCGCUGAAGUGCGGCUGAGAAAAGAAAGGCUUCAUCCUUGCACGAGCGAGUCACGGCCCCCACUAACUCAGAGUUGGUGGCCAGGAUUCGUGCACUCUCCUCCGACAGAUUCACGCCGGCCAUGGAGGCUACGUCGUUGAUAUCGUCGUCAUCCCUACACACACACACACACACCCCUUAUGUAUUCCAAUGCAAAAUAAAUUUGAAUGGUCAAAUGUU
This is a long non-coding RNA of Tachysurus fulvidraco (yellow catfish), 1786 nucleotides long. RefSeq lists it as uncharacterized. Lineage: Eukaryota; Metazoa; Chordata; Actinopteri; Siluriformes; Bagridae. The record is from RefSeq and is a predicted model, not a curated record. The transcript has 4 exons.